RNAcentral lists this ribosomal RNA (492 nucleotides) under uncultured bacterium. Its description in RNAcentral is "SSU rRNA". It matches the Rfam family "Bacterial small subunit ribosomal RNA", at positions 26 to 521 of the family's 1533-position model. The record is from RNAcentral.
AGAUUGAACGCUGGCGGCAUGCCUUACACAUGCAAGUCGAACGGUAACAGGUUAAGCUGACGAGUGGCGAACGGGUGAGUAAUAUAUCGGAACGUGCCCAGUAGUGGGGGAUAGCCCGGCGAAAGCCGGAUUAAUACCGCAUACGACCUACGGGUGAAAGGGGGGGAUCGCAAGACCUCUCGCUAUUGGAGCGGCCGAUAUCAGAUUAGGUAGUUGGUGGGGUAAAGGCCUACCAAGCCGACGAUCUGUAGCUGGUCUGAGAGGACGACCAGCCACACUGGGACUGAGACACGGCCCAGACUCCUACGGGAGGCAGCAGUGGGGAAUUUUGGACAAUGGGCGCAAGCCUGAUCCAGCCAUGCCGCGUGCGGGAAGAAGGCCUUCGGGUUGUAAACCGCUUUUGUCAGGGAAGAAUCUUUUGAGUUAAUACCUCGGAAGGAUGACGGUACCUGAAGAAUAAGCACCGGCUAACUACGUGCCAGCAGCCGCGGU